RNAcentral lists this long non-coding RNA (4954 nucleotides) under Oryza brachyantha (malo sina). RNAcentral's name for it is "long non-coding RNA (OBRA_LNC002603)". Lineage: Eukaryota; Viridiplantae; Streptophyta; Magnoliopsida; Poales; Poaceae. The record is from RNAcentral.
UUGAGAUUCUCUACACCGGAAGGUUUCUAUCUGUCCCAAGAAAAGUACAUCCACGAUCUUCUUGAUCGUGCUGCUCUCACUGAUCAUCGAACAGUUGAGAUUCCCAUAGAACUAAAUUUUCACCUUUGUGCCACUAAUGGUGAGCCUCUCUCUGAUCCCACUCGCUAUCGUCAUAUUGUGGGUAGUCUGGUUUAUCUUGGUGUCACUCAUCCUGGCAUCUCACACUCUGUGCAUAUCCCAAGUCAAUUUGUUUUAGCUCCUACACAGCUUCAUUAUUCUCACUUCGUGUUCUGCAUUAUCUUCGUAGGACUAUAGCUCGUCGUUUAUUCUUUCCACACUCUAGCUCUUUACAGCUUCAGGCAUAUAGUGAUGCUCCUUGGGCCAGCGAUUCCUCCGAUCGUCGGUCUCUUUCUGCCUUUUAUGUUUUCUUGGUGGCUCUCUUAUUUCUUGGAAAAGCAAGAAGCAAACGACAGUUUCUCAUUCGAGUGCAGAGGCUAAGUUGUGUGCUAUAGCUCUUGUGACAGCAGAGGUUACAUGGUUACGGUGGUGUUCACGCUGAAAAUGACAAUCAAUAGUCAGACACGUAGGCCCGGGAAUCAAUCUUAGACCACUCCAGUACAAGACCGAAUUCUUAGAAAUGCUGGGCGCACCAAUCUGUUUGAUCCUGUAACGGACAAGAUAUAACAUAGAAAACAGUUAAUUCCCGAAAUCGCUAUCAGCCGGACAGCCGAUACCGUCCUAGGACCGUAGCCGAUGAACUAAACGAUCGGCUUUACAGGAAAUUCAUGGUAGCAGGCAUAAAUGUGCUCAAUCGGCUGAAUCGAAAGCAGGAUAAAUACCAAUCGGACCAACCAACCAAUUAAUCUUAAAAGAUGCUAGUCCAUGUCGGACAUGAUUCCUAAUAGAUAAAAAGAAAUAACAAACUUUAUCUCUUAACACGACACGGUUUCUAAUAGAUAAAAGAAAACAAACAAGUCCCGAUUGGACUCUAAUCUCUUAGAGAUGAAAUCCUAACUAACUCUAACUACUAGAUAAAAUUACGCCGCCAAGCCUUGUUCUUCAACGAUUCCCUGUUGAAUUCGAACUCUUCUGGAUAAAAUUUCUAUCGGCGAUUGCACCUUUCCCUAUCCGAAUCCAAUAAGGAAAUCUACAAAUUUUGGUGUUAACAGGUGGUUGCUUGAGGAUUUUGGUGUUUCUGUCAAGAACACUGAGUUUGGAGAGAUAGAAUCUGUCUAGCGACAGUCUGUGCCUUUGUAAAUAAAUCAGCCAACUGAAUCUCCGACGGCACAUAUUGAGGAGCAACAAUUCCAUCUUUACUUGUGCUCGUGUAUAAAAAGCAUCAACAGCAACAUGCUUACUGAGCUCAUGCUACACCGGAUAACCAAGUAACCUCUGCUGUCACAAGAGAGGAGUUGUCAUAGAAAUAGACACCAAAAUCCUCAAGCAACCACCAUAACCAAGUAACCUCUGCUGUCACAAGAGUCAUAGAACGCAACUCAGACUCUGUACUCGAACGAGAAACUGUUGUCUGCUUCUUAGUUUUCCAAGAAAUGAGAGAACCACCAAGAAACACACAAAAAGCAGAAAGAGAUCAACGAUGAGAGGAAUCACUAGCCUAGGUAGCAUCACAAUUGGCCUAGAUAGCAUCACUAGCCUAGGUAGCAUCAACGACGAGAUAUAGUCCCACGAAGAUUGCGUAGAACGCGAAGCAGAUGAGUAUUGUGAGGAGCAGAAACAAAUAGACUCGGGAUAUGUACAGCGUGCGAGAUAUCAGGACGAGUGACACCAAGAUAAACAACUCCCCACAAUAUGACGACAGCGAGUAGGAUUAGAAAGAGCACCAUCAGUGAGGCUUAGAUGUACAUUGAGCUCCGCAAGAGUGAUUAUGAAGAUCACUAAGAGAUGCAUGAUCAAGAAGGGAUCGAAUGUAUUUCUCUUGAUAGAGAUAGAACCCUUCGAAUGUAGAGUAAAUUUCAAUCCCAAGAAAGUAACGAAGACGACCAGGAUCAGUCAUCAGAAACUGCUCACUAAGACAACCAAGAUCAGUUGAGUCUGCUUGCCUAGCCGACACCCGUGACAUUGAUCUAAAGACUUAUGACCAGAAACAGACCCUAAAAAGACCAUGACGAAUCAUAGUGGAUAAGCGAGAGCCACAAAUAUGACCCAAGCGAUGAUACCACUGAGCAAAAGAUGAGGUUGACACAACAGAAGGAAGAUGAAGCCAGUCGAGCUCCUAGAGACGCUGAGAAUCACACGAUAACAAAAGUCAGGAUCAAGAAUCACACAAUAGUCAUGAUCAGUGAGUUGACCAGCAAACAUAAGUUGCAUGGUUAGAUCAGGAACAUAAGAAACAUCACAAACAGAAAAAAAAGGGCAGAUGAAAGAACACCCUACCCGAUAACGGGAAGAGGAGACCCAUCAGCUGUAUGAAAGGAAGAUCGAGAUGGGGGAACCAAGGAAGAAAGACAGGUAUGAUGGGGAGUCAUAUGGAAAGAAGCACCAGAAUCAAGGAUCCAAGGACAACUACCUGGUUCAGGAGAGGAACCAGCAAUAGAAGACUGGGAAGUAGCAGCAGAACCUGGUAGUACAGAAGGCUGAGUCACCGAACCAACAGGUCCUGGUGAAGAAGAGGCGACGAGGCGACCGAGAAGCCUGAGAAUCUCCUGUGCAUCAGAUCCACUAGAACUGCUCCGAGAACCUUUAGUACUGUAACCAUCAGAAGCCUGUGAAGAACGGCGAGCACGAGUUUUCUGGUCCUUCCUCUUUUUAAAACAAUAGGAUUCCACAUGGCUGGCUUUGUCGCAAUACUUGCAAUGAAGACAACUCCCCCCUCCAGUGUCAGAAGAAGGCUUCCUAGAUGUAGGGACCACUGGUAGAGGAGUAGAACGAGAAGACGAAGAACGAGCAGCAAAGAUAAGUCUCCUCAUUACGAACCUCAGCAAGAGCAUCCAACAAAGAGACACAUGGGUGACGAGCAAGUAACUGAGCACGAAGAGGCUCAAUCUCGACACAAAGAUGAGUCAAGAAGUCGUAUGUACGACGUAGCUCAGGAGCAGCGUCCUUUUGGCUCUUACAGGACUCACCAGUAGCAGGCGAUAACUAGGCACCAAGAGUGUCAAGUUGACGCCAAAUAGAAAAAAUCUGAGCAUAGAAAUCAUGCACUGUACUAUCUCCUUGAAGAACCAACUGCUCCUAGCGAAUAACAGCAAGAUAAGUCGACUGUCCAAAGGGCUCAUAGCGCUCACGAAGAAAAGUCCACAUUGGAUGUGUAUACUCAAGCUCAACAAUAUCAGCGGAAAUCAGAUCCUCCAUACUAGCAACAAGAAUGGCAGCAACACGAGCAUCCUCAUCAAUCCAUGUCCUGUAGGCUGCAUAGGACGAGUCAUAAGUGACCAAGCGAUCAUAUUCGGCAUGCAAAUGCUCAACACGCUCAUCAUAUUCCUUGAGCAAACGAGUGAACUCUGUCUUCUGGUCAGCAGUAGCAUUCGCCGGAAGAACAGGCUCCUGUGGAAGUAGAGGCUGCGAAGGAGCAGUAGGACGAGGUGGACAAGGAAGAUCACCAGUCAAAAACUCCCAAAGACGCACUCCACGCAUAUGAAUCCGAAGACAAGGAACCCAAUCGCGAAAGUUAGUGCCAUUGAAAAGCACUGGACAAUGAAGAAGAGCAACGCCACUAGAAUCUUGCGAAGGAGCCAUGGCGCUGAUUUGAGCGUAGUUUUUUUUGGAAACUAAAAAAUCGGUUUAAGAAACCGAAAACAGCCUAGCCUCAUAUCCAAUCCGGCCCGGAUCAGAUCGGGGGAGAGGGGGGCGGCGACCCCAGUAGUGGCGACGGACAGCCGUGAGAGGGGACGACGGGGGCGCACNNNNNNNNNNNNNNNNNNNNNNNNNNNNNNNNNNNNNNNNNNNNNNNNNNNNNNNNNNNNNNNNNNNNNNNNNNNNNNNNNNNNNNNNNNNNNNNNNNNNNNNNNNNNNNNNNNNNNNNNNNNNNNNNNNNNNNNNNNNNGCUCGGCGAGGGGGUGGCACACCUCGUGACCCCAGCGGCAGCGGCCAGCCCGGCCCACCGGUGACGAAGGCGAGCGAGCGCAUGGAGGAGGCGGUGGCUUCUAGGCUCUAGUGGCGGUGACCGUGCAAAGGAGGCGACGACGCUCAGCUCCGGCGGUGGUGGCGCAAAGUAGGCAGAGCGUGGCUCCGACGCACAGCCCUUGACCAAGAAGAGCGCAGCGGCUCAGGCAAUGGUGGCGUGGCGUGCAAGUGCAACACGCAAAAGAAAACUCAGGUUUUGCUCUAAUACCAUGUUAUGAAUAGCACACUUGUAUUUAUAUGAGGGCACUAGGCCCAAAUAUAUACAUGUACAAGAUGAGUACAUAAGGAAACUAUACAAAUAGGAACAAGAGCAGGAAUAGGGAACAAGAGUAGGAAUAGGACUACGAGUACGAAUAGGAAUACAUCUACACUUGACAAUUAGUAGUGCUCUAUCCUAUUUCUUCUCUAACCCUUUAAGCAACAAAAAGAAAACGCUCAUUCCUAGCAGUACAGAACUGCAUUGGGAUACUUCACCUGUAUAUAUUUUACAAAUCAAAUACCAAUUGCUUCUAUUUCCAUAGUUCCCUACUAAUCAUGGUUGUUGGUAGCUAGCAGAAUACAAAAUAAAAUUUUGUAGAACUUGAUGCACAUAGGUUGAGACAGCUACAUCUCAUUUCUAUGCACAGAUGUAAUGGGCCUGGAGGUGGUACAGCUACAACUCAUUCUUUUUCCUAACCAUGCAUCAGAAAACCAUCCAAACCCAUCAACACACAAACCAGCUAGCGGAUAGCUAUAUCUCAGUACUUCAAUUUUGAACCACAACAUUUUAAUUCCAUACUAAAAACUUGACAGAAGCAAUUAAAGGACAUAUCAAAAAUAUUACAAACUGGUUUCACCUUACCUGUAGGUAGCUGCAGCAAGCUUUAGUGAC